UGUUGGUACCUUUGCAGCGAUAGACUGCGAACCCCGCCAGGCCCGGAAGGGAGCAACGGUAGCUGUUGACUCGGGUGCUAAGACUUCACUGGCACAG
RNAcentral lists this signal recognition particle RNA (97 nucleotides) under Gammaproteobacteria bacterium. RNAcentral's name for it is "signal recognition particle sRNA small type". It matches the Rfam family "Bacterial small signal recognition particle RNA". Rfam says of the family: The signal recognition particle (SRP) is a universally conserved ribonucleoprotein involved in the co-translational targeting of proteins to membranes. Archaeal SRP consists of a 7S RNA and homologues of the eukaryotic SRP19 and SRP54 proteins. The record is from RNAcentral. Lineage: Bacteria; Pseudomonadati; Pseudomonadota; Gammaproteobacteria. RNAcentral also lists the same sequence under 1 other name.